GAUGAACGCUGGCGGCGUGCCUAAUACAUGCAAGUCGAGCGAACAGACGAGGAGCUUGCUCCUCUGACGUUAGCGGCGGACGGGUGAGUAACACGUGGAUAACCUACCUAUAAGACUGGGAUAACUUCGGGAGACCGGAGCUAAUACCGGAUAAUAUAUUGAACCGCAUGGUUCAAUAGUGAAAGACGGUUUUGCUGUCACUUAUAGAUGGAUCCGCGCCGCAUUAGCUAGUUGGUAGGUAACGGCUUACCAAGGCGACGAUGCGUAGCCGACCUGAGAGGGUGAUCGGCCACACUGGAACUGAGACACGGUCCAGACGCCUACGGGAGGCAGCAGUAGGGAAUCUUCCGCAAUGGGCGAAAGCCUGACGGAGCAACGCCGCGUGAGUGAUGAAGGUCUUCGGAUCGUAAAACUCUGUUAUUAGGGAAGAACAAAUGUGUAAGUAACUAUGCACGUCUUGACGGUACCUAAUCAGAAAGCCACGGCUAACUACGUG
RNAcentral lists this ribosomal RNA (496 nucleotides) under uncultured bacterium. RNAcentral describes it as "partial 16S ribosomal RNA". It matches the Rfam family "Bacterial small subunit ribosomal RNA", at positions 28 to 507 of the family's 1533-position model. The record is from RNAcentral.